UACGUAGGGCGCAAGCGUUGUCCGGAAUUAUUGGGCGUAAAGAGCUCGUAGGCGGUUUGUCGCGUCUGCUGUGAAAACCUAAGGCUCAACCUUGGGCUUGCAGUGGGUACGGGCAGACUAGAGUGCGGUAGGGGUGACUGGAAUUCCUGGUGUAGCGGUGGAAUGCGCAGAUAUCAGGAAGAACACCCGUGGCUAAGGCGGCUCUCUAGUACGGUACUGACGCUGAGACGCGAAAGCGUGGGGAGCGAACAGG
Molecule: ribosomal RNA, 253 nt
Filed under: uncultured bacterium
Lineage: Bacteria
Description: partial 16S ribosomal RNA
Rfam family: Bacterial small subunit ribosomal RNA
Source: RNAcentral